UCAGGAUGAACGCUGGCGGCGUGCUUACACAUGCAAGUCGAACGGACUCUUCGGAGUUAGUGGCGGACGGGUGAGUAACGCGUGAGAAUCUGCCUUCAGGAGGGGGACAACAGUUGGAAACGACUGCUAAUACCGCAUAUGCCGAGAGGUGAAACAUUUAUGGCCUGAAGAGGAGCUCGCGUCUGAUUAGCUAGUUGGUGAGGUAAGAGCUUACCAAGGCGACGAUCAGUAGCUGGCCUGAGAGGAUGAUCAGCCACACUGGGACUGAGACACGGCCCAGACUCCUACGGGAGGCAGCAGUGGGGAAUUUUCCGCAAUGGGGGCAACCCUGACGGAGCAACGCCGCGUGCGGGAAGAAUGCCUGUGGGUUGUAAACCGCUUUUCUCAAGGAAGAAGACAGUGACGGUACUUGAGGAAUCAGCAUCGGCUAACUCCGUGCCAGCAGCCGCGGUAAUACGGAGGAUGCAAGCGUUAUCCGGAAUUAUUGGGCGUAAAGCGUCCGUAGGUGGCCCAUCAAGUCUGCUGUCAAAGCGCGAAGCUUAACUUCGUAACGGCGGUGGAAACUGAUGAGCUAGAGUGCGGUAGGGGUAGAGGGAACUCCCAGUGUAGCGGUGAAAUGCGUAGAUAUUGGGAAGAACACCGGUGGCGAAAGCGCUCUGCUGGACCUGCACUGACACUGAUGGACGAAAGCUAGGGGAGCGAAAAGGGAUUAGAUACCCCUGUAGUCC
RNAcentral lists this ribosomal RNA (728 nucleotides) under uncultured organism. RNAcentral's name for it is "bacterial SSU rRNA". It matches the Rfam family "Bacterial small subunit ribosomal RNA", at positions 24 to 796 of the family's 1533-position model. The record is from RNAcentral.